Molecule: long non-coding RNA, 1787 nt
Filed under: Capsicum annuum
Lineage: Eukaryota; Viridiplantae; Streptophyta; Magnoliopsida; Solanales; Solanaceae
Description: long non-coding RNA (CANN_LNC021526)
Source: RNAcentral
AGUUUAACAAGAAGCAAGAGAGAGCUCGCGGAUCAAAGCAGCAGAUUUCUCUACAAAUUCAAGAACAAGCUCAAGAUUUCAAGAUAAAGAGUUCAAAGUUCAAGAACAAGUUCAAGAUUCAAGAUCAAGACUACAAGAUUCAAGAACAAGCUCAACGACCCUUGAAUUCAAGUACAAGUCGAGAUCAAGUUCAUCAAGUCUUCAAAUCAAGUUCAAGUUCAAGAUCAAGACCGCAAGAUUCAAGAACAAGCUACCAAGCCCUUGGAUUCAAGCACAAGUCAAGAUCAAAUCCGUCAAGUUCAAGUUAAAGUUCAAGAUCAAGCUCGAAGCCCUUGGAUUUAUAAUUGAAAAGGCGAAUCAGAGGAAUCAUAGAGAUUGUAACACUCACUUAUUGAAAUCAAUAAAUUGAUUGUUGCAGUAUUUUUCUUGUCUCGAUUAUUUAUUUUUGGUCUCGAGAAUUUUAUUGUCAAACAAAUUCUGGGAUAUUUAUAGAUCAAAACCCUUCCUUGUUAAUAAUUAAAUACAUCAAGAAGACAAAACCUCCCUUCCUGGAGAUCAAAUCCAAAUGUUUCUAUGUUUGAGAAAUACGCCACUAACGGUUCUUGAAUUACGGAGAAAUUCAUAUCCAAAUCUUCAUACAUUCAAGAAAAAUGCCACUGUCGGCCCUCGAAUUAUGGAGAAAAUCAAGAGAGAAGAAUCAAGGAAGGAACAGAUUUAUAACCACAAUUGUUUAUCAAUAAAAAAAUUCUUGUUUCUUCAUACUUUUGUUUGUGGUUAAAAUUUAUUUUUCAUGAAUUUAAAUUAUAUUGUAAACAAAUUGGCAUGCCCAGUGGGACUAAAUCUGCCCUUCAUCUCUUCUAUCAUAAAUCAGAUCUACAAAUUUGUAGCCUACUGCAUAAAGAUGGAAGCUUUAUUGGUACUUCAAGACUCGUCAUCAAAUCUACACUUUGAUAAGCCUUGAAGUAGGGGGCAUUUGUAGACAUCUAAAAUUUGUGGACUCUUCAAUAAGAAUCCAAAUUCUGUUAGAGUUCAAGAAGGCUACUUUACCCUAAAUCUUGCCUAUUUAAUAGGUAACAUGUUCCCUAAAACUGGCAUCUUGAAUAUCCCAUAAGCUGAUGGGUAUUCGUAAAAAGAUCAGCAUCUCCAGUAUCCCACAAAUUCAUGGGAUAUUCACAAAGAGAUCAAAGAUCUGAAAACUCCCAACCAAAGAGAUCAAAGAUCUGAAAAGUCUUAAUAAAUUCAUGGGAUAUUCAUAAAGAUCAAAACUCUCUCUUCUUGAUAAUCAAAUACAUCAAGAAGACAAACCCUCCUUUCAUAGAGAUCAAAUCCAAAUGUUCCUACGUUCGAGAAAUACACCACUAAUGGCUCUCGAAUUACGAAGAAAUUCAUAUCCAAAUCUUCAUACAUUCAAGAAAUAUACUACUGACGGCCCUCGAAUUAUGGAGAAAAUCAAAAAAGAAGAAUCAAGGGAGGAACAAGUUUAACAAGAAGCAAAAGAGAGCUCGUGGAUCAAAGCAGCAGAUUUCUCUACAAAUUCAAGAACAAGCUCAAGAUUUCAAGAUCAAGAGUUCAAGGUUCAAGAACAAGUUCAAGAUUCAAGAUCAUGACUACAAGAUUCAAGAACAAGCUCAACGACCCUUGAAUUCAAGUACAAGUCGAGAUCAAGUUCAUCAAGUCUUCAAAUCAAGUUCAAUUUCAAGAUCAAGACCACAAGAUUCAAGAACAAGCUACCAAGCCCUUAGAUUCAAGCACAAGUAAAGAUCAAAUCCAUCAAGUUCAAGUUAAAG